Molecule: ribosomal RNA, 253 nt
Filed under: uncultured bacterium
Lineage: Bacteria
Description: partial 16S ribosomal RNA
Rfam family: Bacterial small subunit ribosomal RNA
Source: RNAcentral
UACGGGGGGGGCAAGCGUUGUUCGGAAUUACUGGGCGUAAAGGGCUCGUAGGCGGCCAACUAAGUCAUACGUGAAAUCCCUCGGCUUAACCGGGGAACUGCGUCUGAUACUGGAUGGCUUGAGUUCGGGAGAGGGAUGCGGAAUUCCAGGUGUAGCGGUGAAAUGCGUAGAUAUCAGGAAGAACACCAAUGGCGAAGGCAGCUCGCUGGAACGGUACUGACGCUGAGGCGCGAAAGCGUGGGGAGCAAACAGG